AUGAGCUGGUUUACAGCCGCCAUUACAUUGAAGGAAGAAGAAGACGACCGAUGGCGGGGAAAACAAGCAGGAGUUUCUGCGGACAAACAUUCAUUUAUUGAAUAUAUAAAAACAGAAAUUAGACAGUCUGCCGCUGCGAAGACACUGAAGCUAGCUUAACGAGAAGCACCUGGCCGGGAGGUAAAGUUAACGACCCUGGGUGAAACAAUGGAUCAGACCUGUUUAAUGUACCUGAGUAUCGUCAUGGUUGAUCUACACAACACCUGCUUAAAGGAACCAAAAAGUGACUCGGUGACUGAAGACGUGAGGAAGGUCUGGACCUCUGGAGCAGUCAGGAGUCUUCAGGUCCUUGUUAAAAAUGGAGGCGAUGCUGGACUCCACACAGAAGGUAAACCUUUGCUUUCACCCUGAUGUUGGACCUUCAGCAGCUGAUUGGUCGACCCAGUCCCACACAUGGACGGAGCCGUCUGAGGCUGCAGACAGCAGCGUCCGUGAACGUUCGGGGUGCCAGACGUGGGAGGUAACAAAGACGUCGUCACCAGACUGCGAUGAAACGGCGUGCCCACGAUGCUCGAACAGCGGCUGAACUUCCUGCAGCUCGUUCCUCCAGAUGGACGUGUUGUAGAUCUGAACGGCUCCACUGAAACCUGCAGACCUGGAUCACCGUGUUGCUGUGAACUCACCUGACACUGCGAUACAGUCGUCCAGCGCCGGAGCCCACGACACUCUGACAUCAUCCAGAUUGCAGUGACGUGGCUGGACGUCCAGCUGAGCCCGACUCACAGAACCUCC
Epinephelus lanceolatus (giant grouper) is the source of this 792-nucleotide long non-coding RNA. RefSeq lists it as uncharacterized. The record is from RefSeq and is a predicted model, not a curated record. Lineage: Eukaryota; Metazoa; Chordata; Actinopteri; Perciformes; Serranidae.